CCAUGAGAACUUAAUGGAUUUGUUUGAUAAACUGAAGACAAACAUUUCCUCCAGCAUCUCCAAGGUCCGACUCUUGACAGUAAGGAUUUUAAGUCAUUUUGAGUCUCAGCUUCCUACAUCAACCAAGGAUGAUGGAACAGGAGAGCUUCAAUCCGUGUUUG
Gopherus flavomarginatus (Mexican gopher tortoise) is the source of this 161-nucleotide long non-coding RNA. RefSeq lists it as uncharacterized. Lineage: Eukaryota; Metazoa; Chordata; Testudines; Testudinidae. The transcript is spliced from 3 exons. The record is from RefSeq and is a predicted model, not a curated record.